GCAGCCUAUGCAGGGCAAAGCGGAAAGCCACCAGCCCCGCAAAGAGGCGACUGUGAUUAUCCAGGUGGGAGGUGAUGGUAGCUGGGCCAGGCAGACACUGGAGGUAGGAAGAAGGGGAACUUUGGGCAUAUUAAUAUCUCAGAGGUGGAGAAGACAGGCUUUGCUGAGCGAUGGGAUGUGGAGAGUCAGCUGAUGGCUUCUAGAUUUUUGCUCUGUGCACCUAGUAGGGACACGUUGGCAAAUCCUGAGAUGGUGAGUGUCCAGCAGAACCAGGUAUGAGAAGCUACUGAUAGCCGGCUCUUUCCUACCCCCUGGUGGCCUCAGAUUUGGGUGCCAUCUGGCAGGCUGUUGUUAUUCUGGGGCUGGAAAGACAGUCCUCGCCUUUACUAACAUGUGACGUCACUGAGUUCAUCCUGCUGUGUAACAUUCUUCAUUUCCUCUACUCCUCCAUCAGGGACACUCCUGGUGUCCAUUUGGGACAACCUGAAGAAAGGAGGCAAAUGGACGUGGUGGGCUUGGACGUGGGACCAUGGUCUUAGGGUCCCAGGCAGUCCCAGGCCAGGCUCCCAAAGGUGCCUCUGCCAGACAUACAGUGAAGUACCUAAACUGAAUGAAUUCUCACAGAGGGGUAUGCACGUGUAACCAACACCCAGAUCCAGACAGACAACAUUCCUGGGCUCCAGAAGUCUCCCUCUUGCUUCUUCCCAGGCAGCACCCCUCCCAGUUCCAGCAACCAGAAAACGGAAGUCAGUGUCACUGGGCUGAAAUCCAGGCGUGGGCAGGGCGGGGCUCCCUCUGACGGCCCUAGGGGAUGAUCCUUCCCGCCUCUCCCAGCUCACUGCCAUCUGUGCCUCCGGCGUCACAUGGCCUUCUCUGUGUGUCUGUGUCUUCUCCUCUUCUGUCUCUUAUAAAGACACUUGUCGCUGGAUCCAGGGCCUACCUGGGUAAUGUAGGGUGAGCUCAUCUUGAGAUCCUUAAAUUAACGACAUCUGCAAAGACCCUUUCGCCAAAUGAGGCAACACUCAAUAUGGUCCAGGGAUUUAUUUGGGUGUGGACAUUUCUUCUUCCUUGCCACCUGUCAACUGAAAAAAUAAUAUCGUCUAGGUAGUCUGUCACCAAAAGUUUUAUUCAGGAAAAGGAAUAAGAGAAAGGAAAAAGGGCUGCCACUCAGCACCUGCACGUGCAGAUCUAGCAAACUAUGUGCGCACAUUGGCCUGUGUCAGGGAGACAGGAACCAUAGAGUUUUAUGAAAAGGAAGUUAGGACCGUGGAGUUUGGCUAGGUGGGCUCAUGAACUUCCAUGAGCUCAGCUCCACCUGGAGCCCUCCCAGCCUGAUCAGUUUCCUUAAAGUCCCACUUCGUCUUUAUCACUCCCUUCUACCUACUACAGUAAUCAAAUCUCGCCCUGGCCGCCCUGCCUCCCUCCACUGAGGACACUUGAGGUUGCAUUUAGGACCCACCUCGGUAAUCCAAGACAAUCUCCCCAUCUCCAGAUCCUUAAUUUAAUCACAUCUGCAAAGACCCGUUUGCCGUGUACAGUGAGAUCCACGGGUGCUGGGCAAUGGGAUGUGGACAUACUUGGGGCCACUGCGUGAUGCGUCGCAUCCACUUUUUUCAGGCUGGGCAGUCUUUCUCCCAGUGCUUUCUAGGGGGUCUUUGCAGACUCUGUGUACAAUACCUUUCUUUGAGAUGGGGAUACUUUCUGGCAAACCUCUCUUUGGAGCCUUGGGGUGAGAAGAUUGGCGUGGGGGUGUGUGGUCUGUGCCUCCCUGGAGGUCCCUAGUGUGCCCAGUGAAUUGUCAGCCGUUUACUGGACGUUUGAAUUCCUGUGAGUUAAGCCUGCUUUUCUUGUCCUUAAUGCUUGUUUGUGGUGUCAUCUGUCCUACAAA
Molecule: long non-coding RNA, 1888 nt
Organism: Rhinolophus ferrumequinum (greater horseshoe bat)
Lineage: Eukaryota; Metazoa; Chordata; Mammalia; Chiroptera; Rhinolophidae
Exons: 3
Source: RefSeq, a predicted model, not a curated record